Molecule: ribosomal RNA, 234 nt
Filed under: uncultured bacterium
Lineage: Bacteria
Description: partial 16S ribosomal RNA
Rfam family: Bacterial small subunit ribosomal RNA
Source: RNAcentral
UACGGGGGAGCAAGACGUUGUUCGGAUUUACUGGGCGUAAAGGGCGCGUAGGCGGCGCAACAAGUCACUUGUGAAAUCUCCGGGCUUAACCCGGAGCGGCCAAGUGAUACUGUCGUGCUAGAGUGCGGAAGGGGCUACUGGGAAUUCUCGGUGUAGCGGUGAAAUGCGUAGAUAUCGAGAGGAACACCUGCGGCGAAGGCGGGUAGCUGGGCCCGACACUGACGCUGAGGCGCG